GGGGUUGUGGCUCAGGGGUAGAGCACUCGCAUAGCAUGUGCGAGGCCCUGGGUUUGAUCCUCAGCACCACA
This 71-nucleotide transfer RNA is filed under the name Marmota monax (woodchuck). Its description in RNAcentral is "tRNA.Ala". The record is from RNAcentral. Lineage: Eukaryota; Metazoa; Chordata; Mammalia; Rodentia; Sciuridae.